AUGGCACCCCUCAAUCUUUCGCCAUGCGCCUCCUCCCACCUUGGCUUCUUUCUUCUUUCUGCUAUGGCGAGAGGGCGUGCCAGUGCUUUGAUGGUGGCGAUGAGGGUCUCCGCUCGACAACGCGCCCCUCCUUCCCAAGAGUUUGUGGCGGCGGAGCCGACCACAAGGGGAAGGGGGAGGGGGCAAGGCCGAGGUCGCCGUGGCGCUCGGGGAAGAGGAGGACGGGCAGCGCACCGGCUUCGCCUCCGCCAGCGGUCCCUUCCCCAAUGGAGGGCCACGUCGGGGAUGAGCCUCGCGAAUUCUUCAUCAGGCUACGCCGGCCAGCGCAUCGUCGUCUUCGUCUCCCUACUCCAUUUGCUCGGGAGAUGA
Molecule: ribosomal RNA, 369 nt
Filed under: Triticum aestivum (bread wheat)
Lineage: Eukaryota; Viridiplantae; Streptophyta; Magnoliopsida; Poales; Poaceae
Description: partial small subunit ribosomal RNA
Source: RNAcentral